AAAAAACCGGCGAGUAAGAGUAGUACUCCGGGGUUGCAUUUUCUUCAGAGAGCCGCAGGCGGUGAGAUUGCGGCGGGGAUGUUCCGGACGAAUGGACUUAUGAGGGCGGGACGAAAGGCUUUUUUGCCGAGUAGUGUCCGACGGGAUCUUCACCCGUUACCAAGGAAGCGUGCAUGGUGGUGCAUGGAAUGAGCGGGCGAUUUUCGCCAACGUGGGUGGUACCGCAGGAGUUUAGGCUCUUGUCCCUGUA
Molecule: non-coding RNA, 250 nt
Filed under: Clostridium sp.
Lineage: Bacteria; Bacillati; Bacillota; Clostridia; Eubacteriales; Clostridiaceae
Description: T-box sequence
Rfam family: T-box leader
About the family: Uncharged tRNA acts as the effector for transcription antitermination of genes in the T-box leader family. T-boxes are found upstream of many aminoacyl-tRNA synthetase genes and some amino acid biosynthetic genes usually in Gram-positive bacteria.
Source: RNAcentral